RNAcentral lists this small nucleolar RNA (117 nucleotides) under Pongo abelii (Sumatran orangutan). Its description in RNAcentral is "Small nucleolar RNA U13 (ENSPPYG00000027515.2)". It matches the Rfam family "Small nucleolar RNA U13". The record is from Rfam by way of RNAcentral. Lineage: Eukaryota; Metazoa; Chordata; Mammalia; Primates; Hominidae.
AUCUUUUUAUAGUUCACAGCAUGAUGACUGGGUUUUUAUGUUCAUGUGUGAGAUGUGCCCCUUCAAACCUUUUUACGAUGUCUGGUGGAUUUUUAAGCUUUUUUCAGCUAUAUGAUC